ACGGAGGGUGCGAGCGUUAAUCGGAAUUACUGGGCGUAAAGCGUGCGCGGGCGGUUCGCUAAGACAGGUGUGAAAUCCCCGGGCUUAACCUGGGAAUGGCGUUUGGAACUGGCGGGCUGGAGUACGGUAGAGGGGGGUGGAAUUCCAAGUGUAGCAGUGAAAUGCGUAGAGAUGUGGAGGAACACCGAUGGCGAAGGCAGCCCCCUGGACCGAUACUGACGCUCAUGCGCGAAAGCGUGGGGAGCAAACAG
RNAcentral lists this ribosomal RNA (251 nucleotides) under uncultured prokaryote. Its description in RNAcentral is "partial 16S ribosomal RNA". It matches the Rfam family "Bacterial small subunit ribosomal RNA", at positions 525 to 775 of the family's 1533-position model. The record is from RNAcentral.